Molecule: non-coding RNA, 138 nt
Organism: Mus musculus (house mouse)
Lineage: Eukaryota; Metazoa; Chordata; Mammalia; Rodentia; Muridae
Source: Rfam
GACCCCAGCAAUGGGCAGAGACACCUUGUUGGUGGUGUUCUUAUACUAGGCAGGGGCAAAAAGGACGGCAGCCCUUUGUUUCAUCCUAGCUUGAUGGGUGGUUUGGUGACUAAAGCUGUUUAUGUCUAGGACAUAUAA